Molecule: non-coding RNA, 24 nt
Filed under: Arabidopsis thaliana (thale cress)
Lineage: Eukaryota; Viridiplantae; Streptophyta; Magnoliopsida; Brassicales; Brassicaceae
Source: RNAcentral
AUCGAUGCGACGAUACGGCGAUGC